AUUGAACGCUGGCGGCAGGCCUAACACAUGCAAGUCGAGCGGAUGAAGGGAGCUUGCUCCUGGAUUCAGCGGCGGACGGGUGAGUAAUGCCUAGGAAUCUGCCUGGUAGUGGGGGAUAACGUCCGGUAACGGGCGCUAAUACCGCAUACGUCCUGAUGGAGAAAGUGGGGGAUCUUUGGACCUCGCGCUAUCUGAUGAGCCUAGGUCGGAUUAGCUAGUUGGUGAGGUAAAGGCCUACCAAGGCGACGAUCCGUAACUGGCCUGAGAGGAUGAUCAGCCACACUGGAACUGAGACACGGUCCAGACUCCUACGGGAGGCAGCAGUGGGGAAUAUUGGGCAAUGGGCGAAAGCCUGAUCCAGCCAUGCCGCGUGUGUGAAGAAGGUCUUCGGAUUGUAAAGCACUGUAAGUAGGGAGGAAGGGCAGUAAGUUAAUACCUGGCUGUUUUGACGGUACCAAAAGAGUAAGCACCGGCUAACUUCGUG
RNAcentral lists this ribosomal RNA (484 nucleotides) under uncultured bacterium. RNAcentral's name for it is "partial 16S ribosomal RNA". It matches the Rfam family "Bacterial small subunit ribosomal RNA", at positions 30 to 507 of the family's 1533-position model. The record is from RNAcentral.